RNAcentral lists this unclassified non-coding RNA (514 nucleotides) under Hevea brasiliensis (rubber tree). The record is from RNAcentral. Lineage: Eukaryota; Viridiplantae; Streptophyta; Magnoliopsida; Malpighiales; Euphorbiaceae.
GUAAAUGCAUGUCCGAUUUUUAGGAAUUGCAGAAAUGGCCCAUAGACAUUUCCUGGCCAUGUCCUCACAUUUUCAACGAGGAACCGUUUCCGGAACGGGAGAACGUGGGCUCCUCCCAUUUUCGUGCAUCAUAGUUUCUCUUUUCUCUUUCGUUUCUCAUCGCGUGUUUCCAUUAAAUCCAGCAUUACCAGCCGGAAAUCAUUCUCAUACCUAAGGUCUGUCGAAAGGAAGCUAUGGCAUGGCUGGAUAGGGGCAAAAUUACCGGAAAUAGAAGAGAAAAGCUUGGCCAUUUCAUUUUUCUCUUACCUCGUGUAACCUUGGAUCCACUCAAAGAUUGCCAUCAUUCAUCACUUGAGAAACACCGCCAGAGCUUGCUGGAGAUCCUGGUUGCAUCGUUAAAGAAAAAAUUAAGGGGAAGGGGCUGGCUGCUUGUCGGGACGAGGGAGAAGUGGUCUCCCUAUUUGGUUCCAAAACGCAGCUUAGUCUGCACUUUCAUUUUAACAUUUUUUUUUAA